RNAcentral lists this ribosomal RNA (467 nucleotides) under uncultured bacterium. RNAcentral describes it as "partial 16S ribosomal RNA". It matches the Rfam family "Bacterial small subunit ribosomal RNA", at positions 28 to 507 of the family's 1533-position model. The record is from RNAcentral.
GAUGAACGCUGGCGGCGUGCUUAACACAUGCAAGUCGAACGGUGAAGCAGAGCUUGCUCUGUGGAUCAGUGGCGAACGGGUGAGUAACACGUGAGCAACCUGCCCCUGACUCUGGGAUAAGCGCUGGAAACGGCGUCUAAUACUGGAUAUGAGCUGCGACCGCAUGGUCAGCAGUUGGAAAGAUUUUUCGGUCUGGGAUGGGCUCACGGCCUAUCAGCUUGUUGGUGAGGUAAUGGCUCACCAAGGCGUCGACGGGUAGCCGGCCUGAGAGGGUGACCGGCCAAAAUGGGACUGAGACACGGCCCAGACUCCUACGGGAGGCAGCAGUGGGGAAUAUUGCACAAUGGGCGAAAGCCUGAUGCAGCAACGCCGCGUGAGGGAUGACGGCCUUCGGGUUGUAAACCUCUUUUAGCAGGGAAGAAGCGAAAGCGACGGUACCUGCAGAAAAAGCGCCGGCUAACUACGUG